This is a long non-coding RNA of Triticum dicoccoides, 796 nucleotides long. RefSeq lists it as uncharacterized. The record is from RefSeq and is a predicted model, not a curated record. The transcript has 3 exons. NCBI's taxonomy places the organism in Eukaryota, Viridiplantae, Streptophyta, Magnoliopsida, Poales, Poaceae.
CGUAGCACCUGUCCUCCUUCCACCUUCCCCUCCACCCAUCUGGCCUUCCCGCUCGCCUCUUCCCCGCUCCCCACGCGUCUCCUCUGGUGGCCGCCUUCGGCGAGUGGAGUCUGUUCCUCACUGGCUCGCUGCAUUCUUCCUCUGCGAGGUGUUAGUGUGGGGAUGGGAUCUGACAGGAUCGGGACGAGGAGGCGGCUGUGAAGUACACGUUCUGGAGCUGCGCGUGGAUGCGCUCAUUGCCGAGGCCGAUGCCGCUCUUUCUGGAGGCCGACGCCGCUCUUUCUAGAAGAAAUCCCUCGGUGUCAAGCGGGGUGACGUGGACACCUACGUCCUUCAUGUUUGGGCGCUGGAGGGCGACGGGAGGCAUCGAUUCGCCGUUUGGCUCCUGCACUAGGGGACUGCGGCUGCUACAAAAGAUGCAGCAAUUGGAAGAUGCACAGUAACGACUGAAACUAUUCGAGGACAAAUCUUGGAUUGUUGUUGUCGUUGGAAUUUAGAGUUGCAUGGUUGGCAUGGUCAACAUGGCAAAGAAAGUAUAGAAGAUUUGCCAAACCAAGUAUGGGCUUGUAGAGUACCUCAGCUUGUGCAAUUGGAUUUAUGUUGGUCAAGAACUGGUCAACGAUAAAGGAGAACAAGCAUUGUAUUUUGUAUUACUAUUCUAUACAAACUUUCUUCCCACACCAUUAUGUAAUCUUUCCCUUUUGAGGUUGCAAUAUGAUCUCUGCUAACCAGAUUUUAUAUAUGAUCACUGCUAAAUUACAACAUAACGCCAAAUGUACAAGUAUCCUUUGCAGAA